GUGGAUUAGAUACCCUGGUAGUCCACGCCCUAAACGAUGUCAACUGGUUGUUGGGGGAUUUAUUCUCUUAGUAACGAAGCUAACGCGUGAAGUUGACCGCCUGGGGAGUACGGUCGCAAGAUUAAAACUCAAAGGAAUUGACGGGGGCCCGCACAAGCGGUGGAUGAUGUGGAUUAAUUCGAUGCAACGCGAAAAACCUUACCUACGCUUGACAUGUCCGAGAUCCCCGAGAGAUUGGGGAGUGCUCGAAAGAGAAUCGGAACACAGGUGCUGCACGGCUGUCGUCAACU
Molecule: ribosomal RNA, 290 nt
Filed under: uncultured bacterium
Lineage: Bacteria
Description: partial 16S ribosomal RNA
Rfam family: Bacterial small subunit ribosomal RNA
Source: RNAcentral